UACGUAGGGUGCAAGCGUUGUCCGGAAUUAUUGGGCGUAAAGAGCUCGUAGGCGGUUUGUCGCGUCUGCUGUGAAAAUCCAGGGCUUAACCCUGGACCUGCAGUGGGUACGGGCAGACUGGAGUGCGGUAGGGGAGAUCGGAAUUCCUGGUGUAGCGGUGAAAUGCGCAGAUAUCAGGAGGAACACCGGUGGCGAAGGCGGAUCUCUGGGCCGUAACUGACGCUGAGAAGCGAAAGCGUGGGGAGCGAACAGG
This 253-nucleotide ribosomal RNA is filed under the name uncultured bacterium. RNAcentral describes it as "partial 16S ribosomal RNA". It matches the Rfam family "Bacterial small subunit ribosomal RNA", at positions 524 to 776 of the family's 1533-position model. The record is from RNAcentral.